This 193-nucleotide non-coding RNA is filed under the name Peptacetobacter hiranonis. RNAcentral describes it as "Clostridium hiranonis T-box sequence". It matches the Rfam family "T-box leader". From Rfam's summary of the family: Uncharged tRNA acts as the effector for transcription antitermination of genes in the T-box leader family. T-boxes are found upstream of many aminoacyl-tRNA synthetase genes and some amino acid biosynthetic genes usually in Gram-positive bacteria. The anticodon of a specific tRNA base pairs to a specifier sequence within the T-box motif, and the NCCA acceptor tail of the tRNA base pairs to a conserved bulge in the T-box antiterminator hairpin. The record is from RNAcentral. Lineage: Bacteria; Bacillati; Bacillota; Clostridia; Peptostreptococcales; Peptostreptococcaceae.
UAGACAGUCUGAAGUAGUAGAAUAGGAGUUAUUUCAGAGAGCUGGUGUUAGCUGCGAACCAGUAUAACAAAUUUUUGAACUUGUCAGAUACAAACUGUCAACCGUUGUUGGUUUAAAGACUCAACUAAGAGAGUUCAAUUUAUUUGAGCUAAUUAGGGUGGUACCGCGAGUAUAUAAUAUCCUCGUCCCUAAA